UCCUUCGGAUCAGUUGACAUCACAGACGUCUGCUUGCUUUUUUUUACAGACCAUUUAGAUUCUGAUUUAUACAGAAAAGAAACAGUGUUGAAGAUGUAAUAUGUCUGCAUAUCCUUUGCAUGGAAAAUGGCUGCUAGAGAGAGGUUUCUUCACUCUGCUGAGUGCCUGUCAGGGUGAUCUGCCUGAAGUCAAGUAGACAGGAAGAUCCUGAAAUGUUAACAAGGAGAAGAAUCCUGUGCAAAUCUCUCUAUAAGAAACAAAGUGAACACUGCUGAGGUGAAAGUGAAAGUGAAAACCUUUAUAAGAAGCUGUAAGGCCUGAGAGAGGUAAAACUGGGGUGCAAGUCUCAAGACAGUUUCGCUUGUAAGUCUAAGACUUCCAUCUACAAUUCAACUGAGAACACCCACGUUUGAAUAAGCACGAGAUUGUAAAUAUAUUCUUCUCAGUUAUAUGUUUUGGAAAGCAAAGUUCUUUUGAAUAUAAAGAGUCUGGACAUGG
Podarcis raffonei (Aeolian wall lizard) is the source of this 498-nucleotide long non-coding RNA. RefSeq lists it as uncharacterized. The record is from RefSeq and is a predicted model, not a curated record. NCBI's taxonomy places the organism in Eukaryota, Metazoa, Chordata, Lepidosauria, Squamata, Lacertidae. The transcript has 2 exons.